GAAAGAGACAUGGAUUGGUUGCCUCCCCGAGGGGGGCCAGGGAUUGAACCUGCAACUGAGGUGUGCAACCCUGACGGGAAUAGAACCACAGACCCUUCAGUCUGUGGGACGGAGAUCUAACCACUGAGCCAAACUGGCCAGGGCUUGAGGCUGCAUUCCUUCGGCAUGUCUUUGGCAUUCAUCCAAGUUGUUGAUCAGAACGAACACCUCAGGAGCCACGAGGUGUGUGAGGACUGCUGGGGACAGCCCUGGUGGCCGUCUCGUGCACACAGGCAUCCUUCCGAAUAGCCGGGUGGUGGCGGGAUCCUGCUCACUCUCUUCCUGCUCAGGUCUCUGCCCUUCCCGAGGAACAGGAGAAAAUGACCAAGUUCCAGGAGCUGGUGACCUUCAAGGACGUGGCUGUGGUCUUCACCGAGGAGGAGCUGGGGCUGCUGGACCCGUCCCAGAGGAAGCUGUACCGAGACGUGAUGCUGGAGAACUUCUGGAACCUGGUCUCUGUGGGUGAGGACAGGCGCCCUCUGUAACUCAGGGUCGCCCUCUUUGUUUGCUCAGUUGUUUGAAGCUCUGGGACUCCUGAAAUCCUUCUCUGAGCUUGGGCAUCUAACAAGCCCUGCGCGGCAAAGACAAGAUGUUUCUGUCCUUUGAACUCUCAGUGAGCACACCGUGGGCCUGCCCCACUGCUUUGUCAUGAAAUCAGUUCAGUGAGUUGCUCCAGCUUUUUGUUUCUCAGGAUGUCAGUAACUGUUUUUAACUUGAUUUUUCAGAGGUAUUUUGUUUCUCACUUUAACAACGUAUUUGUAAGUAACUUUAAACUUACAGGACAUUUACAAAAGUAAAAAUAUAGAACAAGAACACCCAUAUGGCUUUUACCCAAGUCCCCCUGUAAUGACAUUUUACCCCCUUGCUUUGUCAUUUAUACACAUGUUCUUUCUCCAGAUAAUUUUUGUAUAUUUAUGAAAAUGUAUGCAUAUUCAUAAUAUUUUUUUCCUGAACAAUUUGCAGGUAACUUACAUAUACCAUCUCCCUUUACCUCCAAAUACUUCAGUGUAAAUGCAGGGUUUGGGAAUCCCCAAGACUACACUCUGUCAGACACCAGUUGCAAGUUCAGAGGUCCCCAGUAGUACCCCAAGGCUUGAUAAUUAGCUGGAAGACUCUCAGAACUCACUGAAAGCUGUUAUACUCAUGGUUACACUGAUUUCAGAGGGAGAGAGGGAGAGGGAAAAA
Miniopterus natalensis is the source of this 1224-nucleotide non-coding RNA. The record is from RefSeq and is a predicted model, not a curated record. Lineage: Eukaryota; Metazoa; Chordata; Mammalia; Chiroptera; Miniopteridae.